This 80-nucleotide ribosomal RNA is filed under the name uncultured bacterium. RNAcentral describes it as "partial 16S ribosomal RNA". It matches the Rfam family "Bacterial small subunit ribosomal RNA", at positions 274 to 354 of the family's 1533-position model. The record is from RNAcentral.
CGACGAUGCUAGGGGUUCUGAGAGGAAGGUCCCCCACACUGGUACUGAGACACGGACCAGACUCCUACGGGAGGCAGCAG